Molecule: non-coding RNA, 802 nt
Organism: Cinara cedri
Lineage: Eukaryota; Metazoa; Arthropoda; Insecta; Hemiptera; Aphididae
Source: the annotation of a GenBank genome assembly
CAAUUUACGUACGCAUAUAAAAGAUACUACGCUCCGAAUCGUUUUUCGUAAGCGACGGUGUAUCGUUGAGUACAGAUGUAUCAAUUAAAUUCCCCACUUUUCAUCUAUAACAGUAACUCACCCAUCGUGUUUAGUAUGUGUCCGUUCUUUUAUUUUUUACUAAUUACUUACACCAUCGUAAAAUCGACAAAUCACGAAUGUUUUACUCGUAAAUAAUUCGAUAAAAUUUAAAACGCGCCCCAACGCGAAAUUAAUUUGUUUACGAAUCCGAAUAUGUUUCGAUUUUUAAAAUUUUUAAAUUUAGACCAUUUUUUUAUUUAUUUACUAGGAUUUCGAAAAUUAGCUUUCGGGAAUCUAGCACAUCGAAAACGGUUUCCUAAAAACGUUGAAAAAUCCCGAAAAAAGAAACAAAAUUAGAUUAGAAUAUUACAACAGACGUCCUAAUAUAUGCACGCCAUCGUCAUUAUAGGAUUUAUGGUUCUGUCUCAAUUUUACAACAAUCACUUAUCAGCUAUCGGUAAUUGAUGGCCACAUCGAUUUUACUCUUACGGCAUGUUUAUAAAAUGGAAUUCCUCGUCUCUGGCGGGCAAAAGCAGGCCGAUCAUCAACUUCAUCUAAUUAUGCAAUUCGAUACUUUCGUCAGUGUUUAAACCGUAGGUAACGUAAAAUAUUGGACAAGACGCAAAAACCUCAUUGCGUGGACAUUAAGCGAUAUUUUUUUAAGGUUGUAAUGUGGGACAAAUAUUCGCAAUAGUGAAACGAUACCGCGAUUAAACAUAAUAUAGUAUAGCAGUGAAACGUA